This 253-nucleotide ribosomal RNA is filed under the name uncultured bacterium. RNAcentral's name for it is "partial 16S ribosomal RNA". It matches the Rfam family "Bacterial small subunit ribosomal RNA", at positions 524 to 776 of the family's 1533-position model. The record is from RNAcentral.
UACGUAGGGGGCAAGCGUUGUCCGGAAUUAUUGGGCGUAAAGAGCUCGUAGGCGGUCUGUUACGUCUGCUGUGAAAACCCGGGGCUUAACCCUGGGCUUGCAGUGGAUACGGGCAGACUAGAGGCAGGUAGGGGAGAAUGGAAUUCCCGGUGUAGCGGUGUAAUGCGCAGAUAUCGGGAGGAACACCGGUGGCGAAGGCGGUUCUCUGGGCCUGACCUGACGCUGAGGAGCGAAAGCGUGGGGAGCGAACAGG